AACUGGUUCACAAAUCAUUUCCUUUUAUGCGGUUCGGGAGGGCUGGGCUUCCUGCAACUGGUCUGUCCGGCUUUCUUGCCUGGAAGUGGAAAAACCUGACUGCUACGCGCCUGGCUUUAGUUAGUCCAAUCCAUAUUCAUAUCGAGGGGUAGAAAAGAACUUGAUAUAAAAGAAGUGUUACGUGAAAGAAAGGAAAGUACUACAAAAUGAGACG
This 214-nucleotide long non-coding RNA is filed under the name Gossypium barbadense (sea-island cotton). Its description in RNAcentral is "long non-coding RNA (GBAR_LNC005091)". The record is from RNAcentral. Lineage: Eukaryota; Viridiplantae; Streptophyta; Magnoliopsida; Malvales; Malvaceae.